Long non-coding RNA from Wyeomyia smithii (pitcher-plant mosquito), 1248 nucleotides. RefSeq lists it as uncharacterized. The transcript is spliced from 3 exons. The record is from RefSeq and is a predicted model, not a curated record. Lineage: Eukaryota; Metazoa; Arthropoda; Insecta; Diptera; Culicidae.
ACCGUGACCAGCAUAUUUGGCAACAAGGCGUCCGGUUGUUUUGGUUUUUGUCGUUCUGAUUGGAGUAAAAUUCAGUAGAAUUGUAACGUUCUUUUUUAACAAAACUCUAGAAAUCGCGGAAAACUUUUAUUCAUACUGCGUUGCGUAGUGAAAUUUGGUGGCAGCAGCCUGCAACUAGCUGAAAAUCAUGAACUUUCCUCGCCACACAGGAAAUCUUUUAAACGUCAUGGACCAACAAACUUCAUGGACCAGAGUUGAUCUGCGAUAACGCACACAUAUAUGAAUUUUGACAGCAUCCGUGUUUCACGCAGAUUUUGAAGUAGAAUACUUCUCUCAGGAAGUUCGGCUACAUAGGGAUGUAAAAUGAAAAUCUAAAACCGAAAAAAGUGAAAAAUGUGUCCAAUUUCAAAUGCUAAUAAAUCGGUUAGUAUUCGAUGGAUUUCCUUCGUUCUUGCAGCAAUAGAUUGUAAAAUCUUCUAAGAUUUUUCCCGAAUGAAGAUAAUUGUAGUUUUAUUAAUCAAACUAUUGUACUAUUGAAAUUAAUCAAGCCUUGUCAAAACGAAAAAUUCGACCUCUGAUUGGUCGUAAUAUGAUUGCUUCCCAAGCACGGUCGACAGAAUCAUAUACCUUGCAACAGUAAAUGCAUUCAAUGAAAAGUUGACUCAUUUUGACAACACAAUGAAAUAAAAACCUGAUGAUUGAAGAGUUAAUAUUUACUCUUGAGUUAAUUUACAUUUUUAAAUUUGUAAAAGUUAUAAAUUUUACCUAAUCUCCGUGUCUCAGAACGUACUUAAUUAUCUUUUCCUUCAGUCAUGAGCACGAUAUCCAAAAAAUUUUCAUUAUCUGCAUAAAAAUUGUCAAGCCCCAAUCAUGACAAGCAACUUACUAUAUUAUUGAAAAUGGUCAAUCCUUGUUGAAGCGCAAAAUUCGAUUGAUCUGAUAAGUCAGCGUUUAUUUACUAGAGAAAAUGGCUGACACGCAAGCAGCCGGGUUAUCAUUUCCGUAAAAGUAUUCUACUUCAACCUUGCGGUCGUGGAUUUGCACACAACCCCCCUGUGAUUUUUAUGAGGUUUUUCAAGGGGGUUUCGAAUUCACGCGAUUCUUUACAGGGAUUACGUUUUUUAACGCGUUAAUAGAAAAAAAAGUUGAAGAGGUUGUUUAUAAGACACGACCGCAAAGUUAACGUAGAAUACGACAGCCUGUCUUAUGUCACUGUAUCUCUUGGAAUAGGUUUGGAAAUACACUCAA